Molecule: small nucleolar RNA, 215 nt
Organism: Eptesicus fuscus (big brown bat)
Lineage: Eukaryota; Metazoa; Chordata; Mammalia; Chiroptera; Vespertilionidae
Product: small nucleolar RNA U3
Exons: 1
Source: RefSeq, a predicted model, not a curated record
AAGACUAUACUUUCAGGGAUCAUUUCUAUAGUCUGUUACUAGAGAAGUUUCUCUGAUUGUGUAGAGCACCCGAAACCACGAGGAGGAGGUGUAGCAUUCUCUCCUGAGCGUGAAGCGGGCUCUUGGUGUUGUUUCUACAACUGCCAUCAGCCAUUGAUGAUCGCUCUUCUCUUCCUAAUGGAAGAGUAAGAGGGAGGGGAUGCAAUCUGAGUGGU